Molecule: small RNA, 4863 nt
Filed under: Pan troglodytes (chimpanzee)
Lineage: Eukaryota; Metazoa; Chordata; Mammalia; Primates; Hominidae
Description: retained intron
Source: RNAcentral
GAGGAGAGCCGGGCCGCCGCCGCCUCUGCAGCCCGCGGGUAACUGGGCCGUUGCCGCCGUCCGCGCUCGGCCCCCGCGGAGAGAUCGAGCUGAAGGACUGCGCGGCUGGCUCUCCUCUAGUAUGGCCAAUGAAGAGGAUGACCCAGUUGUACAGGAGAUCGAUGUGUACUUGGCCAAGAGUCUGGCGGAAAAGCUGUAUCUAUUUCAGUACCCUGUGCGUCCAGCCUCGAUGACCUAUGAUGACAUUCCGCACCUCUCAGCCAAGAUCAAGCCCAAGCAGCAGAAGGUAGAGCUUGAGAUGGCCAUCGACACCCUGAACCCCAACUAUUGCCGCAGCAAAGGGGAGCAGAUUGCGCUGAACGUGGACGGGGCCUGUGCCGAUGAGACCAGCACGUAUUCCUCGAAGCUGAUGGACAAGCAGACCUUCUGCUCUUCCCAGACCACCAGUAACACAUCCCGUUAUGCCGCUGCACUCUACAGGCAAGGUGAGCUCCACCUGACACCUUUACAUGGCAUCCUGCAGCUGCGGCCCAGCUUCUCCUACCUGGAUAAGGCUGACGCCAAGCACCGGGAGAGGGAGGCGGCCAACGAGGCAGGGGACUCUUCACAGGAUGAGGCGGAAGACGAUGUUAAGCAGAUCACGGUGCGGUUCUCCCGGCCGGAGUCAGAGCAGGCCCGCCAGCGCCGUGUGCAGUCCUAUGAGUUCCUGCAGAAGAAGCACGCAGAGGAGCCCUGGGUCCACCUGCAUUACUAUGGCCUGAGGGACAGUCGCUCUGAGCAUGAGCGUCAGUACCUGCUGUGCCCUGGCUCGAGCGGGGUGGAGAACACGGAGCUCGUCAAGUCACCCAGUGAGUACCUGAUGAUGCUGAUGCCACCCAGCCAGGAGGAGGAGAAGUGAGUAGAGGCAGCAGGACACCCUCUCCCUUUCCGGGCUGGCUGCCUCUAACCCAUCCCCUCUGCUUUUCCCAGAGACAAGCCUGUGGCCCCCAGCAACGUCCUGUCGAUGGCCCAGCUGCGCACGCUGCCCCUGGCCGAUCAGAUCAAGAUCCUGAUGAAGAAUGUGAAGGUCAUGCCUUUUGCCAACUUGAUGAGCCUCCUGGGCCCCUCCAUCGAUUCCGUGGCUGUUCUGCGGGGCAUCCAGAAGGUGGCGAUGUUGGUCCAAGGGAACUGGGUGGUGAAGAGUGACAUCCUAUACCCCAAGGACUCGUCCAGCCCUCACAGCGGCGUGCCUGCUGAGGUGCUCUGCAGGGGCCGAGACUUCGUUAUGUGGAAGUUCACGCAGAGCCGCUGGGUGGUUAGGAAAGAGGUGGCAACCGUGACCAAACUCUGCGCCGAGGAUGUGAAGGACUUCCUGGAGCACAUGGCCGUGGUGAGGAUCAACAAAGGCUGGGAGUUCAUUCUGCCUUAUGAUGGGGAGUUCAUCAAGAAACACCCGGAUGUGGUCCAGCGGCAGCACAUGCUGUGGACGGGUAUCCAGGCCAAACUGGAAAAAGUCUAUAAUCUUGUAAAGGAAACCAUGCCAAAGAAGCCGGAUGCACAAUCAGGGCCUGCCGGGCUGGUCUCUGGGGACCAGCGGAUCCAAGUAGCCAAAACCAAGGCCCAGCAGAACCACGCGUUGCUGGAGCGGGAGCUGCAGCGGCGGAAGGAGCAGCUGCGGGUGCCUGCGGUCCCGCCCGGUGUGCGGAUCAAGGAGGAGCCCGUGAGCGAGGAGGACGAGGAGCAGGAGGUGGAGGAGGAGCCCAUGGACACUUCCCCCAGCGGCCUCCACAGCAAGCUGGCCAACGGGCUGCCUCUCGGGCGGGCUGCGGGCACAGACAGCUUCAACGGGCACCCGCCCCAGGGCUGCGCCAGCACCCCUGUGGCUCGGGAACUGAAGGCCUUCGUGGAGGCCACCUUUCAGAGACAGUUUGUGCUCACGCUGAGCGAACUCAAGCGCCUCUUCAAUCUGCACUUGGCCAGCCUGCCCCCCGGCCACACACUCUUCAGCGGCAUCUCGGACCGCAUGCUACAGGACACGGUGCUGGCCGCCGGUUGCAAGCAGAUACUGGUGCCUGUAAGUAGAGCCCUGCCUGCCAGGGGCAUGGGGGGUGGGGGGUGGGGAGAACCAGCUGUUGGGAGGCCACGUGGGGACACGGGAGGCCAUGCUUGGUGAGCAUCUGCUCUCACGUGGGCCUAGGUGUGACAUGGGCAAGUCAGCCUCUCUGAGGCUCUAGUCUCAUGAAAUGGGAUCAUGUUGGGUUUUAUGUCACAGGACUGUGGUAGGGGCUAAAUACGGUGUCUGAAGGCCCGGCCUAUUGCCUGGCCUGCAGCAGGGCCUAGUGAAACAGGGCCCCUGCCUGGUUUCUCACCCUGUCCCCCACCAAGAACACCUGUUUCCUACUAGCUUUGCCAUUGUUUGGAAUGAUUUAACUUCUAAGAUCGUUUGAUCUUCUUUGCAAUCUGCAGAUGAAGAAACUGAGGCUCCAAGGAAUGAAAUGUACGUUUAAAGGUCACUACCUAGGAGGUAGUAGAGCUGGAAUUUGGACCUCAGUAUAGUGGCCUGGAGUUUUGAAUCCUUUCUGCUCAGCUAAGAUGAGCUGCUUCCCCACAGCUGCGCCACGCCCCAGCUUGGGCCUGGGUCCUGGCGGCCUCCCUGUGCAUCAGAAGCAAGCUGACCAGCUCAGCGCUGUGCUCUCAGCACUUCCAGUGCCAGGCCUUGAGUGUGGUAUUGCAAGCCUCCUGCCCCUUCCCCCUGGGCUGCUUUUCUGUCACUGGGAGGGGCCCUGACGGGGGAGCAGAGUGCUUGCUGGGGACUGUUUCCCUGCGCUGAGGAUAGAGAGCGCCAGGUGCUGCCUGAGGCACGCCUUUCCCGUGCUCCUUUUCCACAAGGCUCUGCCCAGACCUGGCAGCAAAAUGGGGUGAGGUGGGGCUGUGGUGGUCUCUAAGAAAGCAUUGAUGUUUUCAUUGCCAAGGUCAGGAGCGCCUGCAGCCUUGGGUGAUGAUCUGAGGCCAAGGCCCAUCCCUGUGUAUGAGGAAUAGAAACUAGGACAGGAGGCCUUGUGGAGCCUAGGCUGUCUCAGGGGAUCGGCCCUGCUGGCAGGCGGCCCCCUGUGGGAGGUACUGGCAGAGUUCGGAGCUCCUGCCCACCCGGCACAUGGGUCUGGGUCUCCACAAGCUCACCUUUCUUCAUGAGCUGGGCCAGGCCGGGGAGGACACCUGCCUGACAUUAGUGAGUUGUUUUGGGCCGCUGGAGUGGACAGAGGUGAGGGGUGGGACAUGGCCACCCUCAGACACCCUGACCCCUCCUUCCGGACCCCCUCUGUCCAUGUUGCUUUGGGGUGGGGCCAGUGUCUCCAGGAGACACCAUGGCCCUAACUGUAAUGCUCUCCUUGCCAUCCUGACAAGGAGACUGUAUUGUAGUCACACCAAGAGACCUCAGAUCCCAGCCACCUCUGUGUUGUACAUGAGGGAGCUGAGGUCCAGGGCAAGUGAAUAGAUGGAGAACUUGACUUGAACUCCUGGUUCUGCUGCUUAUUAGCUGUGUGACCAUGGACAGUGAGCAAACCUCUCUGAGCUUACUUUUCCCCAUGUACUACCUCCCCAGUUUCUAAUGCUCAAAUGCAAAUGUGUAUUGGAGGCCUCACAGGGCUUUUACUGGUAGUAACCAUUAUUGCUACUUGUGUGAUGGAACCAGGACUGGAAACUACCAUCCCAGAUGCCCCCUCCCCUGUCCCCUUCUCUCCAGGACCCAGGCCUGUGUCACACUUGUCCUGGUCUACCUUUGGACCAAGUGGCCUGGAUUGCUUGGGAGUCAGGCAGUGCCUCUAACCCACACUGACACGGUACUUGUGGGAAGCAGUUGAAAAGAACCCCCAGGGUACCCCAAGAGUUAUGGGGAAGGGGGCGCCCCUCCAUCAGGGUUGGCAUCUUCAGGAGGGAGGACUCUGGGUGUUAAAGCACAGUUGAGUUGGUGCCAGGCUGAUGGGAAACAGACGCAGCUUCCCCACUGUACGGAGGAUAUCUGCAGAUUCGAAGCCAGGCAUUUCACUGGGCCCAUCACACUCCCCCUCUCUCUGGAGCCCUGUCAGGCCCUGGGGGGUGUGCCGGCCUCCUCCCCAUGGUGAGGUGAGAGGCGCAGGUUUGUGGCUGCCCAAGUCCCUCAGAGAUGGUGAGUAGCAGAAGCUGGGAUUGGAACCCAUGUUCCUGCAUCUGGGCUGGGGCAGACAGGGAGGGAUGAGGCAAGCAAAUGGAUCCAUGGGGUAGAGAUGGACAAGCAACUCACACCUGGGCCUUGGUCAGUUUCCCCCACAGACUGCUGCUUCCCCGGAUGAGCAGAAGGUGUUUGCCCUCUGGGAGUCUGGAGACAUGAGUGAUCAGGUGAGGUGAACUUUGCUGCCAUCUUCCCGAAGAGCCAGGGGGGUUUCCUGCAGCGUUGGAGGCCUUGGGGGACAUGUGCACUCAAAGUGCAGCCACACAUUUCAGAUUUUCUGGCACACUCGGUUUUAAAUAUCCUGCUCCAACUCUGUACGCUAACAAAAUAAGCUGUAUGUGCCAAUAGUUUGAACCUAAACCAGUGGUUCCCAGAUGCCAGUCUGUGAGCCAGCUCCAUCAGAAUCAUCUUUUAAAAAAUACAGGCUGGGCAUAGUGGCUCACGCCUGUAAUCCCAGCACUUUGGGAGGCCAAGGUGAGUGGAUCACCUGAGGUUGGGAGUUUGACACCAGCCUGACCAAUAUGGUGAAACCCCAUCUCUACUAAAAAUACCCAUAGUCGUGGGAGGCUGAGACAGGAGAAUUGCUUGAACCUGGGAGAUAGAGGUUGCAGUGAACCGAGAUUGCACCACUGCACUCCAGACUGGGCGACAGAGCAAGACUGUGUCUCAGAAAG